GCGGUAUGCUUUACACAUGCAAGUCGUACGAGAGUUUUUAACUCAAGUGGCGGACGGGUGAGUAACACGUAAGAAUUUGCCUUUAGGAGGGGGACAACAACUGGAAACGGUUGCUAAUACCCCAUGUGCUUUCGAGUGAAAUGGAUUUAUCCGCCUAGAGAGAAGCUUGCGGCUGAUUAGCUUGUUGGUGAGGUAAUGGCUUACCAAGGCGACGAUCAGUAUCUGGUUUGAGAGGACGAUCAGACACACUGGAACUGAGACACGGUCCAGACUCCUACGGGAGGCAGCAGUGGGGAAUUUUCCGCAAUGGGCGAAAGCCUGACGGAGCAAUACCGCGUGAGGGAUGACGGCCUAUGGGUUGUAAACCUCUUUUUUCAGGGAGGAAUCAAUGACGUGUACCUGAAGAAUAAGCAUCGGCUAACUCCGUGCCAGCAGCCGCGGUAAGACGGAGGAUGCAAGUGUUAUCCGGAAUCACUGGGCGUAAAGCGUCUGUAGGUGGUCAAAUAAGUCAACUGUUAAAUCUUGAGGCCCAACCUCAAAAUCGCAGUCGAAACUAUUAGACUAGAGUAUAGUAGGGGUAAAGGGAAUUUCCAGUGGAGCGGUGAAAUGCGUAGAGAUUGGAAAGAACACCGAUGGCGAAGGCACUUUACUGGGCUAUUACUAACACUGAGAGACGAAAGCUAGGGUAGCAAAUGGGAUUAGAUACCCCAGUAGUCCUAGCCGUAAACAAUGGAUACUAGAUGUUGAACAGAUCGACCUGUGCAGUAUCAAAGCUAACGCGUUAAGUAUCCC
Molecule: ribosomal RNA, 792 nt
Filed under: uncultured diatom
Lineage: Eukaryota; Bacillariophyta
Description: bacterial SSU rRNA
Rfam family: Bacterial small subunit ribosomal RNA
Source: RNAcentral